Molecule: ribosomal RNA, 701 nt
Filed under: uncultured bacterium
Lineage: Bacteria
Description: bacterial SSU rRNA
Rfam family: Bacterial small subunit ribosomal RNA
Source: RNAcentral
CCUUCGGGAUCUUGAGAGCGGCGCACGGGUGCGUAACGCGUAUGCAACCUACCCUCUACAGGGGAAUAGCCCGUCGAAAGGCGGAUUAAUGCCCCAUGGCUCCUUUGAGAGGCAUCUCUUAAGGGAUAAAGAUUCAUCGGUAGAGGAUGGGCAUGCGUGCCAUUAGCUUGAUGGUGGGGUAACGGCCCACCAUGGCUACGAUGGCUAGGGGUUCUGAGAGGAAGGCCCCCCACACUGGGACUGAGACACGGCCCAGACUCCUACGGGAGGCAGCAGUGAGGAAUAUUGGUCAAUGGGCGGAAGCCUGAACCAGCCAUGCCGCGUGCGGGAAGAAGGCGCUACGCGUCGUAAACCGCUUUUGUCCGGGGGUAACCGCGGGGACGUGUCCCCGCCUGCAAGUACCGGACGAAUAAGGGUCGGCUAACUCCGUGCCAGCAGCCGCGGUAAUACGGAGGACCCGAGCGUUAUCCGGAUUCAUUGGGUUUAAAGGGUGCGUAGGCGGCCCGGUCAGUCAGCGGUGAAAGGCUCCUGCUCCACAGGAGAGCUGCCGUUGAUACUGCUGGGCUAGAAUCUUAGCGAGGCGGGCGGAAUGCGCGGUGUAGCGGUGAAAUGCAUAGAUAUCGCGCAGAACGCCGAUUGGGGAGCCAGCUCGCCAGCUGAGUAUUGACGCUGAGGCACGAAAGCGUGGGGAUCAAACAGGA